AAAAUUAUAGUCAAAAAUGAUAUUUGAGUUGCAUUCAAAAGGUGCUUUUUAAGCUAAUUUUA
RNAcentral lists this transfer RNA (62 nucleotides) under Typhlatya taina. Its description in RNAcentral is "tRNA-Ala". The record is from RNAcentral. Lineage: Eukaryota; Metazoa; Arthropoda; Malacostraca; Decapoda; Atyidae.